This 499-nucleotide ribosomal RNA is filed under the name uncultured bacterium. RNAcentral describes it as "bacterial SSU rRNA". It matches the Rfam family "Bacterial small subunit ribosomal RNA", at positions 8 to 518 of the family's 1533-position model. The record is from RNAcentral.
AGAGUUUGAUUAUGGCUCAGAGUGAACGUUGGCGGCGUGGAUAGGCAUGCAAGUCGUGCGGAAAGGCCCCGCAAGGGGUACUCGAGCGGCGAAAGGGAUAGUAACGCGUAGGUCACCUACCCUUGGGACGGGGAUAGCUGGGGGAAACUCCAAUUAAUACCCGAUAACGUCUGCGGACCAAAGGUGUGAUUCCGCCUGAGGACGGGCCUGCGUCCUAUCAGCUAGUUGGUGAGGUAACGGCUCACCAAGGCAACGACGGGUAGCGGGUGUGAGAGCACGACCCGCAUCACUGGGACUGAGAUACUGCCCAGACACCUACGGGUGGCUGCAGUCGAGGAUCUUCGGCAAUGGGCGAAAGCCUGACCGAGCGACGCCGCGUGCGGGAUGAAGGCCUUCGGGUUGUAAACCGCUGUCAGUGGGGAGGAAAUCUGGGAGGGAUCACCCUGUCAGUUGACCUAUCCGCAGAGGAAGGACGGGCUAAGUUCGUGCCAGCCGCCGC